GCCUCCGUAGCUCAGUGGUUAGAGCGCCAGUUUAGUAAACUGGAGGUCCCGUGUUCGAUUCUCGGUGGAGGCA
Molecule: transfer RNA, 73 nt
Organism: Nosema bombycis CQ1
Lineage: Eukaryota; Fungi; Microsporidia; Nosematidae
Rfam family: tRNA
About the family: Transfer RNA (tRNA) molecules are approximately 80 nucleotides in length.
Source: Rfam